Molecule: ribosomal RNA, 240 nt
Filed under: uncultured bacterium
Lineage: Bacteria
Description: partial 16S ribosomal RNA
Rfam family: Bacterial small subunit ribosomal RNA
Source: RNAcentral
CGGGGUAGAGUAAUACAUAAGUAACCCGCCCUAGACAGGGGGAUAACUAUUGGAAACGAUAGCUAAGACCGCAUAGGUACGGACACUGCAUGGUGACCGUAUUAAAAGUGCCUCAAAGCACUGGUAGAGGAUGGACUUAUGGCGCAUUAGCUGGUUGGCGGGGUAACGGCCCACCAAGGCGACGAUGCGUAGCCGACCUGAGAGGGUGACCGGCCACACUGGGACUGAGACACGGCCCAG